Malus domestica (apple) is the source of this 1462-nucleotide non-coding RNA. NCBI's taxonomy places the organism in Eukaryota, Viridiplantae, Streptophyta, Magnoliopsida, Rosales, Rosaceae. The record is from RefSeq and is a predicted model, not a curated record.
AAACCCCACCCCCAUAUUUUCAUCCUAUUUCUAUUUUUCCCCUAGAACAUAUUUGUUAUCUAUCAAUUUAGUCCCUUAUUCUCUUUCAAUCUUAACCCUUGAUCUGGAAAUGCUAUUGUUCUUAAACUGCCAUGUGGCAGCUCUCAGAUCCCUCUUUCCUUUCAUCUCUGCCCGAAACUCAUCUCAGAAUCUCAGUGCUCUCUUUCUUUCGGUUUCUUCUCUCUCUUUCUCACACUCUCUAAGCUCCGAGAGUUUCUCUCUAGCUUUCACCUCACUUCCCUCACAAAUCAAACCCAAAAACCAUAUAUUUGGGAUCCUUGAGACUUAACGAACUCAACGAUACCCUUGCAUGCGCCAUCAGAGCACCGUGGGUUUUUCUGCCAUUGAAGCCGAGAGCUUCAAAGCUCUAACACGCGAACCCAGCUCCGACGACGAACUCCGACGAGUUCGAGGUCCAUCUCUUCCCAAAACCUGCUGCAGUGCGUCCAGGUGAAGUUGCUAGUGGAGACUUCCUUAAUCUUUUUCCAUACAAUUCUGCUGCUUCGGAGUAUCUGUGAGUGGACCACCUUCGAAAAUUUGCAUGUUUUAUUGAUAGAAUUGCAUAAUUUAAUAGCAUGCCUUGCAGAAUUAUUGAUUUGAGGAAUACUUUACAGGAAGCAUGAUGAUUUGAUUAUACGUGAUUAUAUAUAUAUGUUUUGAACUAUUUUCAUUAUAUCGUAUUUUCUAUAGAACCCUCAUUCUGGUAGACUAUCUGAUCGAUGACGAUAGGAUGCUAAGAAUGUGUUUCAAAUGACUUUCGAACACCUCUUCGUAGUAUAGAGGAUCGAUGACUUUAUGCUACGAAGUUGUAUUUUAGAGAUGAAUUAUGUUUUGUGCGUACCUAGUGAACACUAUGCCGCCUGGGGCGAGGAUCUGGUGUUGGCAUUGAGGCCGGGAGAAAUAAUCCCUAGCGAAAGGCUGAGGGACACGGAGACAGGCAUUGGGCCGGGAGGGAGAUAUCUCUGGCUACGGGCACAGAGACUGAGGUGCAGGCAUUGGGCCGGGAGUAUUAUUAUUCAGUGCACUCACUAGCAGCACAACUUGUGUUAUGCUUCCUGAUACGAUUUCUGAUAUGAUUUUAUGAGAUUGAUUUGCAGAGAGAUAUAUGAAUUGUUUUUAUGGUAUGCUAGAGGAUUUGAGAAACCUAUCACUUAUUAUUUAGUAGUUUUCAUUAUUAAACUAUGGGGGUUAGUAUGUUCAUAACUGUUUUCGUACUAUGUAUGUAUAUAAACUUGGUCCACUCACCCUUGUUUUGCGCCCCCAUUCAGGUCUUAGGAACGAGGACUACGAGGCAUCAUACGAGGCAUUCCCCUACCAGUAGCAGUCUACCUUCCACUUGUGUAAUAAUUGUAAUGAUCUUUCCUUUUGUGAUCUUGACUUCGAACGUGUUUUGCACACUCUAGAUAUUUCCCUAAACUUUGUU